UGCAGUGGAACUGGCUUUGAGGUCCAGAGUUGAGUUUGAGGGCUCUAGUGCAUACAGACAAUAUUGUCGGAGGAGGAGGAGAUAGAGUUCAGAAUGAGUGACACACGCAGUGUUUGAUUUGAUUUUAGCUCCCGGUGAUGGGCAGGACUCACAGGAGAUUUGAACAGAGAUGCAGAGAAGCAUUGGCCUAUUUACACCAGUCAGGUGGAUACAGACAGCUCAAGAGGUCUCCAUCUGAGUUCACCCGCCGACGUUCCUCUGCACUGCCAAGCACAACUUUUCUCAGCUGGCACAAUUUGAUUGGCUGCUGUCCGAUACAAACUGUAUUCCAUUAAAUGAAGAGUUGAUGCGCUGCACACUGUUUUUAAUAGCAUCAUUUUUAAUAUUUGGGCUUGGGGAGGGUAUCAAGUCAGGUUGAGUCAUAAGGCUCAAGUCCAAGUCAAGUCACGAGUCAUUGGUGUUAAAGUCGAGUCAUAUUUGUGACUCGAGUCUGACUUGAGUCCAAGUCAUGUUGUCUAGCCCUGACCUUAGAGCUUUUUAUGUCUCUAUUUUGGUUUGGUCAGGGUGUGAUUUGGGGUGGGCAUUCUGUUCUUUUAUCUAUGUUUUGUAUUUCUUUGUUUUGGCCGGGUAUGGUUCUCAAUCAGGGACAGCUGACUAUCGUUGUCUCUGAUUGGGAACCAUACUUAGGUAGCUUUUUCCCACCUAUGUUUUGUGGGUAGUUGUUUUCUGUUUAGUGUUCUGCACCUGAACAGGACUGUUUCAGUUUGGUUUUGCACUUUGUUCUUUUUGUUUCAGUGUUCAGUUUAAUAAAAGUCAUGAACACUUACCACGCUACGCUUUGGUUCGAUUCUUCCUCAUCAGACGACGACGACCACACCUCUGCUAGGUAGGAUCAUUGUAUUGUCCCUAAACAAGAUCAAUUGGGGAGAUUUUUGAGCUGUGCAUCUCAUGUCUUCACGGUUCUUUCUUGCACAAUGAUCCACCGGCCCUCUCCACUGCCUAUCAGCUAUUUCUAUUGUUCUUGUCGAUUCAUAGAAAACAUGUAUGCAGAUUUGAAUGUUUUAAUGUAUGGUAUGAAUGCUGGAUGGAAGACAUUAUAUUGUCAAAUCUGCAAAAGAGCAACGAGGGUAGAA
Long non-coding RNA from Oncorhynchus keta (chum salmon), 1133 nucleotides. RefSeq lists it as uncharacterized. The transcript has 3 exons. The record is from RefSeq and is a predicted model, not a curated record. NCBI's taxonomy places the organism in Eukaryota, Metazoa, Chordata, Actinopteri, Salmoniformes, Salmonidae.